CGUACUCGGAUGGGGGAGAUGUUCAGGUGUACUCAAGGGGGCUAAACUCUUGAAAACCGGAAUAAUGACUUUGGAAUGCAGCGGGUAGCGUGUCCAGUUUUUGUUGGGGGUGGCAUACGUGUUCCCAGUGACGUAGACAUCACUAAAGGUUUCCUUGUCCGCUGACCACGUGAGCUUGUCCAGUGUACAAGUCAGCGGGUGCUCCUUUAGGUUAAGUGAGGCGCCCUCCUCCUCUUGUGGACUACACAGUAUAAAGUGCUCAACCCUACGACGGAGCCUUGCUGGUGUUGUGACCUCAUCUUCAGCCACCUUGUGUUCUACCGCGUCGUGGACUAGAUGAGUCGUGGACGGUGGUGGGGGACCUUGGUGGUGGUGGCAUGGGUGACGGCGGCGAUGACGGCGGACAUCAGCACCAGGGUGAUAGCGGCGCCACCGAACACGAGUGAGAGUAGCGAUGAUGGUGUUGGAGACGGGAGACUACGACAAAUAUCCCUGGACUGCAACUCUCCUUCGUGCUGUGGUUACACCAAGAGCAGCGUCGGGUGUCGCUUCCAAGGUCGGAGGUGUCGGUGUCCUUUCGUCAUCCCCCGACCUGUGCCCUUCACCCCUUACGACAUCUAUCACCACUUGAGGCGGCAGCGACCUACUUAUCAAGAUGAUCAGGAUAGACGUUAGAUGCUGGAGACGAUGACAACGACCCAACUACCACGACGACAAGGGUUAAAUACUAGAUUAAGGAGGCAACGAUGACACCAGACCUUCAACAACGAGCAGGAUAGACGCGAGCUGUUGAUGAUGGGGGGGGUGGACACCAUCCUCACCACACACAAACACACACACACGACCAAUUCUCAGAGCAACAGUGGUUCUCUGCACUUAUACAGUACCUCCGAAUCCACUGUCUAUGGCGUAAGAUCCUUCUGCAAAUCUAAACCGGAAAUGGAGGACUGUCUUCAUGAAACACAAACAUUUGAUAAUUUGUUGCACUUUCAAUGUUCCGCAAGCUUCUAAGUCUCAUCAGUCAUUAUCUUUAUGAUGAGAUGCUUAACCCCUUGUAAAAGUAUCCAGAUGAGAAAUUUCUUCCCCCAAAUCCUCAACAGAACUACAAGAAAAAACGUUUAAAGUCAAUAAUGCGUUUCGUAAAAAAAGAAAAAAAGUUGAUAUCUUAAAGUAACAAAGUAUCACCUGUUUUUAAUAAUCUAGAACAGAAAAUGACGAGAAGUGUUAUCUCCUUAAAUAAUCUGAAACUGUUGUGAGAAUAAAAAAAAAAUCAAUAUAGUUCAACUAAACGAAAAUAAUGUCAUUGAAAUUCCACUGGUAUAAUUUAGUAGUUUUAUUAGACAGAAGGUCAAGAGCGUGCGGGUCUGGCCGUUGUGUCUACAUCGUUGUCGAAGAUUUUAGUUUAAUGCAUUGAAAUAUUUUAUUUUUUAUUUAUUUUUUAUUUUUUGCUUUGAUGAAUCCUGAGUCGCUCAAUCGUAAAUAUGAAUUCAAGGUUUUGGGCGAUAUCAAAAGGCUUUAUCAUGUGCAAUCAAUCCAUAAGUGAGUCCAAAGUGAAUCCAGAUUGUAACCAAAUACUGUAUAAAUCCAGAUAUGAAUCCAAGAAUCAGGUAAACAAUUAAGAUAAGGUUUCUUAACACAUCAAUGAAUCCUCAGAACAAGACCAGCGUGUUUGUCGAUCUGUUUGACGAAUCCGUUAUCUAAAUUAUAUCUUCUUAUUAAUGUUAUUUCGUCUUUCUCUUUUGCUGCUCAAGUUUAUUAAUUUGAAUUUAGCCUGGUUUCUCUCUUCUUCUUUUCCUCCUAUCCUUUCGCCUUUCUCCUCCUCUAUCUCCGUAUCAUUAAGUCCUAAUAUUAAGCAUUUGCUAAUUGUUGUAAUUUUUUUGUUUCCUGAAUCCAAACACUUGCUUUUGUUAUCAUUUAUAUAUUUAUAAUGUCAAUAAAAUACCCUGCAGGUGAAAUUGCUUAAAA
Long non-coding RNA from Homarus americanus (American lobster), 1965 nucleotides. RefSeq lists it as uncharacterized. The record is from RefSeq and is a predicted model, not a curated record. Lineage: Eukaryota; Metazoa; Arthropoda; Malacostraca; Decapoda; Nephropidae. The transcript is spliced from 3 exons.